CUGGAUUAGACUAGCAAAGAACAUAAAUGCAAGCUUACACAGAUUUGGGAGAUGGUAGUAGUUGGGAGAGCCACUGUCACUGUUUUAUGAUAAUAACCGCUUGAUCCCUGUUUUCUGCUCGGCAGUAAGCUUGCUAGGGAACUUUAUGUGAAACUUAAUCCUCAAGUUCCCUUUUUUGUUAGGCUCCUUGGGAAUUGGCAUCCCUUCCCCUUUAACAACUUCUUCAUAGGUUGGACUAAUAAUAGAGUUAAUGGAGAUUGUCAAAUUCCGUCCAUCGAGGGUCAUUACCUGCGCUGUGUAACCAGUUAGAGCUUCUACAAGAGAUACCUUCUGGGUAAUUAUAAGAUCAUUCCCAUCCCUCUUGAAGACACUGUGAGGCUUCUCAUCAAUGAUGAAGACAAGGUCAGAAGGUAUAACACCUCGUUGCUCAUUUCCCUUCUCCGGAAAAGUUAUUUUUGUCCCUUUCUUCCAACCAGGCUUGAUCUCAAUUGUAAGAAUUUCUUCCCCAGUGGUUGGUCUCCCAGUAGGAUCAGUAACAUCCCUCGAAAUCUUCAUCUUCUUAGUAGUUCCCUUAUACAGAUCUUCCAAACUACACGGCAAUGUCCGUUCUAUGGCAGCCCCUUUACGGGGAAUAUUAGAGCUCUCUCCGGCUGCGCUCCUAAAUGAGGAGAAGAUAUCUUCCCCAAACAUACCUCUCGGAAAUCCUGACGUGCUGGCGCGUGAGACGCCACCCAUAUCACCCAUCCCUCCAAACGGACUCGAAAACCCAAAAAUCUCAGAGAAUAUAUCGUCCGCACUCCGAGGAUUGAACCUGAACGUCGUGGAGCCCCCUUCGGCUCCAAAACCCGCUGCACCCGGAGGAGGCGGCACCUGCCCCUUCAAACCCUCCUCUCCAUACUGAUCAUAAACAGCCCGCUUUUGCGGAUCGCUCAAGACAUCAUAGGCUUCGGAGAUUUGCUUGAACUUGGCCUCAGCUUCCUUCUUGUUCUUAGGGUUCUUAUCGGGAUGCCAUUUCAUAGCAAGUUUACGGUAAGCUUUCUUCAAAUCAUCGUCUUUUGCAUUCCGGUCUACCUGUAAAAUUUUAUAGUAGUCGACGCCCAUGGCUCUCUUCUUCUUCCUCUCCGUCCACCGUUGAAGUUGGGUCCGGCUGUGAGCUCACUGUUCCUUUAUAACUGGUUUGCUUUUACGCUUUUAGUGGGUUGGAUCCGUUCUCUUAAUGGGCUAAGAUGUUAGGGAUAAUUAUAAUAAUAAUUUU
Molecule: unclassified non-coding RNA, 1255 nt
Filed under: Hevea brasiliensis (rubber tree)
Lineage: Eukaryota; Viridiplantae; Streptophyta; Magnoliopsida; Malpighiales; Euphorbiaceae
Source: RNAcentral